GAAAUAAUGUGUAAUGGAAUACAGCAGCGAUGCUAACCAAAUCCUUGUUUUCUCGUUUGCAGGCUGGCCUGCCAAUGGUGACUCCUUGGGACUGAAGCUUCACUUUCUUACAGGUUGAAAUCUUGAAUUGUGAAAAUGGAAGAUUUGGCAUCUGCUGCUUAUUUGACGUUCAACACCUUCCUAAAUUCUCACUAAAAGCUGAAGAGGAAAUCCUGCAAGAUGUCAAACACUUUGGGUAGCGGUAGUUAGAUGUGCUCCAGUGGAUGUUCAAUGACCGGCCUUUCAUGUGUAAGAUCUUCAGGCAACUGUCAAAAAAACAAAGAUUAUACGGAAACACAAAAGGGAAAUUUUAAUGCCUCCAGCAAUGCCCUCUAAGAGCAUAGGGGAACGCCAAUACAAUAUGCUGUUUAUAUCGGAAUCUUCCAAAACACAAAAAAUGCAUUGCCCUGGACGCCAUUCCAGGCUUCUAAUACCUCAAUAUCAACUUCAUGCAACUUCAUACAAGACAAGCAAGACAAUUUUCUGUAUGUGUAAUGUAACUGUAUUGAUAGUGGGUAGCAAAAGUGGAAUAUAAUACAAACUGAAAUAGAAAAUAUGUUGGUAUGUUACUCAAACCAAAUACUUUCCAAAGCCAGGAUGAUUAUUAGCCAUCAGGACUAAACAUGUUAGCAAUGUGUGCAAGCUCACAAAACAGCAUAGUGAAUUUACUCCAGAAAUGAAAAUUUGGGUGGCUAUUGAACACACUUUGAAAUACUUUUCAGGAUAUGAAAC
Molecule: long non-coding RNA, 771 nt
Organism: Spea bombifrons (plains spadefoot toad)
Lineage: Eukaryota; Metazoa; Chordata; Amphibia; Anura; Pelobatidae
Exons: 3
Source: RefSeq, a predicted model, not a curated record